UAAUUUGACUCUACUGAUUUGACCCUAUAUUCAAUGUACGACUUUUGCGGACUCUUCGCCUGGCUGUGGGUUUAGCCUAAUAUACGUACGGAAACAGGAUUAUAAAAAUAGGAAACAGGAUCAUAAAAAUGAGUGUUCCAGAUAUUAAAAAGGACGACCAUUACAGACUCCGUCAUACAGUUUAUUCAUUCUAGGAGCUCUUCCCAUUGACAAGCAAGGUAAAAAGAAACAUGCUGUCACACGUGAUCCUCACGCUGUUAUCAUGCGUCACUCACGUGAUCAGUGAGUUYCAAUGUCAAGGAACCUGCUAUUCGGGAUCUUUCCCAAAKAACAACCAAGUUAUCAAGGGAAAAYAUCUCAGAGGAUACUCCUACAAGAACRUUACCAUUAAUGUUCCAYGCA
Actinia tenebrosa (Australian red waratah sea anemone) is the source of this 402-nucleotide long non-coding RNA. Lineage: Eukaryota; Metazoa; Cnidaria; Anthozoa; Actiniaria; Actiniidae. The record is from RefSeq and is a predicted model, not a curated record.